This 72-nucleotide transfer RNA is filed under the name Bacteroidales bacterium. RNAcentral describes it as "tRNA-Cys". It matches the Rfam family "tRNA". From Rfam's summary of the family: Transfer RNA (tRNA) molecules are approximately 80 nucleotides in length. Their secondary structure includes four short double-helical elements and three loops (D, anti-codon, and T loops). The record is from RNAcentral. Lineage: Bacteria; Pseudomonadati; Bacteroidota; Bacteroidia; Bacteroidales.
GGUGCCGUACUCAAGUGGCUAAGGGAAAGGUUUGCAAGACCUUAUACAGUGGUUCGAAUCCACUCGGCGCCU